GAUGAACGCUGGCGGCGUGCCUAACACAUGCAAGUCGAGCGGACGGACGAGAAGCUUGCUUCUUUGACGUUAGCGGCGCACGGGUGAGUAACAUGUGUAUAACCUACCUAUAUGACUGGGAAAACUUCGGGAAACCGGAGCUAAUACCGGAUAAUCUUUUGAACCGCAUGGUUCAAAAGUAAAAGACGGCCUUGCUGUCUCUUAUAGAUGGUUCCGCGCUGCAUUAGCUAGUUGGUAAGGUAACGGCUUACCAAGGCAACGAUGCAUAGCCGACCUGAGAGGGUGAUCGGCCACACUGGAACUGAGACACGGUCCAGACUCCUACGGGAGGCAGCAGUAGGGAAUCUUGCGCAAUGGGCGAAAGCCUGACGCAGCAACGCCGCGUGAGUGAUGAAGGUCUUCGGAUCGUAAAGCUCUGUUAUUGGGGAAGAACAUAUGUGUAAGUAACUGUGCACAUCUUGACGGUACCUAAUCAGAAAGCAACGGCUAACUACGUG
Molecule: ribosomal RNA, 497 nt
Filed under: uncultured bacterium
Lineage: Bacteria
Description: partial 16S ribosomal RNA
Rfam family: Bacterial small subunit ribosomal RNA
Source: RNAcentral